RNAcentral lists this ribosomal RNA (497 nucleotides) under uncultured bacterium. RNAcentral describes it as "partial 16S ribosomal RNA". It matches the Rfam family "Bacterial small subunit ribosomal RNA", at positions 28 to 507 of the family's 1533-position model. The record is from RNAcentral.
GAUGAACGCUGGCGGCGUGCCUAAUACAUGCAAGUCGAGCGAACAGAUGAGGAGCUUGCUCCUCUGACGUUAGCGGCGGACGGGUGAGUAACACGUGGAUAACCUACCUAUAAGACUGGGAUAACUUCGGGAAACCGGAGCUAAUACCGGAUAAUAUAUUGAACCGCAUGGUUCAAUAGUGAAAGACGGUUUUGCUGUCACUUAUAGAUGGAUCCGCGCCGCAUUAGCUAGUUGGUAGGGUAACGGCUUACCAAGGCAACGAUGCGUAGCCGACCUGAGAGGGUGAUCGGCCACACUGGAACUGAGACACGGUCCAGACUCCUACGGGAGGCAGCAGUAGGGAAGCUUCCGCAAUGGGCGAAAGCCUGACGGAGCAACGCCGCGUGAGUGAUGAAGGUCUUCGGAUCGUAAAACUCUGUUAUUAGGGAAGAACAAAUGUGUAAGUAACUAUGCACGUCUUGACGGUACCUAAUCAGAAAGCCACGGCUAACUACGUG